GCCGUCUUAGCUCAGCUGGUAGAGCAACGGUUUUGUAAACCGUAGGUCCGCGGUUCGAGCCCGCGAGACGGCU
Molecule: transfer RNA, 73 nt
Filed under: Thermodesulfovibrionia bacterium
Lineage: Bacteria; Pseudomonadati; Nitrospirota; Thermodesulfovibrionia
Description: tRNA-Thr
Rfam family: tRNA
About the family: Transfer RNA (tRNA) molecules are approximately 80 nucleotides in length. Their secondary structure includes four short double-helical elements and three loops (D, anti-codon, and T loops).
Source: RNAcentral